GAUGAACGCUGGCGGCGUGCCUAAUACAUGCAAGUCGAGCGAACAGACGAGGAGCUUGCUCCUUUGACGUUAGCGGCGGACGGGUGAGUAACACAUAGGUAACCUACCUAUAAGACUGGGAUAACUUCGGGAAACCGGAGCUAAUACCGGAUAAUAUUUCGAACCGCAUGGUUCGAUAGUGAAAGAUGGCUUUGCUAUCACUUAUAGAUGGACCUGCGCCGUAUUAGCUAGUUGGUAAGGUAACGGCUUACCAAGGCAACGAUACGUAGCCGACCUGAGAGGGUGAUCGGCCACACUGGAACUGAGACACGGUCCAGACUCCUACGGGAGGCAGCAGUAGGGAAUCUUCCGCAAUGGGCGAAAGCCUGACGGAGCAACGCCGCGUGAGUGAUGAAGGUCUUCGGAUCGUAAAACUCUGUUAUUAGGGAAGAACAAACGUGUAAGUAACUGUGCACGUCCUGACGGUACCUAAUCAGAAAGCCACGGCUAACUACGUG
Molecule: ribosomal RNA, 497 nt
Filed under: uncultured bacterium
Lineage: Bacteria
Description: partial 16S ribosomal RNA
Rfam family: Bacterial small subunit ribosomal RNA
Source: RNAcentral